GUAAUAUCUCCAGAUGGGCGUGUGAUACCCUUCCUCACCCAUGCCAACAAGAUGUUACUUCUUGUGGUGUCUUUGCCUUGAAAGUAAGUAUAAGAGUAUAAGUAAUGUACAAUUAACCUACUGAAAGUAUACUCAAUAAAAGGCAAAACAGAACUGUCAAAUUAUAUUAUAGCUGUGUCGAUGUAAACUUGCGAAUUAGAAUCUUAAGUGUAACACAAUUUUGUUGGGGAAGACUGAAAUGCCCCUCAAAUGUUUCCCCAGUUUGCUGAAUAUGUUCUGAAGGAGGAGUCGAUUGUCUUUUCAAAUACUGACAAAGAUGUUUAACAUCAUGAGAGAAGAAAUAGCAGUCACUCUCCUCUAAAACACUGAUGGCCUGAGCCAACUGUGCCACUUCUGUGGGGAGGUGGACAAUAAUGAGGAAGACACUAACUGGAAAUGUCCAAUUGGUUGUGACCGCUGCCCACGAUGGAGACGUAUCACCUGGAACUCUUUCCAUAAAAAGUGGACUAAAUGUUCAGUCGAGCCGUUGCAGC
Molecule: long non-coding RNA, 533 nt
Organism: Oncorhynchus tshawytscha (Chinook salmon)
Lineage: Eukaryota; Metazoa; Chordata; Actinopteri; Salmoniformes; Salmonidae
Source: Ensembl